GUGCUUGCUUCAACAGCCCAUGAACCACACUUGGAAGGAUGCAGAGCAGAUUAGCAAGGCUCCUGCACAGGGAUGAACUGCUCAUUCAUGAAGCAUUCCAUAGUUCA
Molecule: small nuclear RNA, 107 nt
Organism: Perognathus longimembris pacificus (Pacific pocket mouse)
Lineage: Eukaryota; Metazoa; Chordata; Mammalia; Rodentia; Heteromyidae
Source: RefSeq, a predicted model, not a curated record